Molecule: non-coding RNA, 31 nt
Filed under: Homo sapiens (human)
Lineage: Eukaryota; Metazoa; Chordata; Mammalia; Primates; Hominidae
Source: RNAcentral
UGCCUCUAUCAUUUCAAGCUUGUUUUCCCAG